Molecule: long non-coding RNA, 1027 nt
Organism: Cyprinus carpio (common carp)
Lineage: Eukaryota; Metazoa; Chordata; Actinopteri; Cypriniformes; Cyprinidae
Exons: 2
Source: RefSeq, a predicted model, not a curated record
GUUCACUGAGGAGCCUUUCCUGUGUUUACCCUGCUCGUGCACCUUCCAGAGAAGAUACCUUAACAUAAAGGAAAAUGUCUUUGAGUGAUUUGUUCUACCCUGGAAAUCCUGAAAAAAGGGAGAAGAUUAUCCGCAGAAGUCAAGAGCUUAUUGAGCUGAUGAAAAGCAACUUCGAAGCCACCAACAGUCUCACUGAGAGGGUCAAUAAGCACUUGCACUCAUCCUUCAGCCCGAUCACCCUGGACGAGAAAGCCACUGUCCAAGCAGAACUGUGAUGUGUAUGAUUGAACGUGUGAAUCAGAUCCUAGCAAAAGUCAAGGAGGUUGACGAGGAGCUGAAGAAGAAGCUGGAACCUACCUUGUAUGAGAGUCUACAACAUAUGUCUCUCCAAAGCUUCAACAAUAUUCCAGCUGCUGAUAAAACUGCUAUUAAAUCAGUUUGCCAGUUUCCAGCUGCAGUUUUAGUGAAGUGUCUAAUGAAAAAUAUGAGAAGUCUGACAGGCAUAAUAUUCAUAUUUGCUUGCAUUUCAACUGGGGUAGUUGGCUCCAUUUUGAUGGGGUUGGUGGUUGGGUUUGUUAUAACUGAUGUGGUUGUUUCAGGCAUUUUAGGGUAUAUUGAGAAAGGUAAACUCGAGACGGCCCUGGCAGAGUACGAGGAGGCUUUGGCAGAAUUCAGGCCAGCAUCUAAAAAAUAUGACAUGGCCAUAUACGAAGUCAUGUUUUUGCUUAAAUACAUGAAGGAGUGAAUUCUCUUUCACAUUAACAUCUGACCUUAAACUUUAGCAAGUCAUAGGUUGCUGUUUUAUUUAUAUUAAUCUUCCCAGUUACAGAAUACUCAUUUCUUUCAGUCUGACAGAAAUAUUUGCUGUAAUUGAAAAUUCCAUGUAAAUAACUUUGAUUUAUACAUUACCCUAAAAGCAUGCAGAAAUACAUGGGAUGAAGAUGGAUGGCAUUAUUUGACUUGUGAAAUGGAGGAAAAAUCCUCAGAAUCAGUUGGAAAUAAAUCACAAGUCCCACGAUUUCAAACA